This 1296-nucleotide ribosomal RNA is filed under the name uncultured bacterium. RNAcentral describes it as "bacterial LSU rRNA". It matches the Rfam family "Bacterial large subunit ribosomal RNA", at positions 1636 to 2925 of the family's 2925-position model. The record is from RNAcentral.
UGCCGCCCGUACCCCAAACCGACACUGGUGGUCAGGUAGAGAAUACCAAAGCGAUCGAGCGAAUCCUGGUCAAGGAACUCGGCAAAUUGCUCCCGUGCCUUCGGCAUAAGGGAGACCCCCUGCGGUGAUGAGCGGCGGGGGGUGGCACAGGCCAGGGGGUAGCGACUGUUUACCAAAAACACAGGAGCGUGCGAAGGCGCAAGCCGCUGUAUACGCUCUGACGCCUGCCCGGUGCCGGAAGGUUAAGAGGAUCCGUCAGGCCUCGGCCGAAGCGGUGAAUUCAAGCCCCGGUAAACGGCGGUGGUAACUAUAACCAUCCUAAGGUAGCGAAAUUCCUUGUCGGGUAAGUUCCGACCUGCACGAAUGGCGUAACGACUUCCCCACUGUCUCGACCAGGAGCUCGGCGAAAUUGCAGUACGAGUAAAGAUGCUCGUUAAGCGCAGAAGGACGAAAAGACCCCGGGACCUUUACUAUACCUUGGUAUUGGCAUUAGGCGCGGAUUGUGUAGCAUAGGCGGGAGGCUUCGAGGCGGGUGCGCCAGCAUCCGCGGAGCCGCAAGGUGAAAUACCGCUCUGUUCUCGUUUGAUGUCUAACCUCGAACAGUCAUCCUGUUCAGGGACAGUGCCUGGCGGGUAGUUCAACUGGGGCGGUUGCCUCCCAAAGAGUAACGGAGGCGCUCAAAGGUCCGCUCGGCCCGGUUGGCAAUCGGGUGUCGAGUGUAAUCGCACAAGCGGGCUUGACUGCGAGAUCGACGGAUCGAGCAGGGACGAAAGUCGGAGAUAGUGAUCCGGUGCCGGCGCACGGGCGCGGCAUCGCUCAACGGAUAAAAGGUACCCCGGGGAUAACAGGCUGAUCAUUCCCAAGAGUCCAUAUCGACGGGAUGGUUUGGCACCUCGAUGUCGGCUCGUCGCAUCCUGGGGCUGGAGCAGGUCCCAAGGGUUCGGCUGUUCGCCGAUCAAAGCGGCACGCGAGCUGGGUUCAGAACGUCGUGAGACAGUUUGGUCUCUAUCCUCUGCGCUCGUUGGAAUCUUGAGGAGGCCUGCCCAUAGUACGAGAGGACCUGGGUGGACGAACCUCUGGUAUGCCGGUCGUCACGCCAGUGGCGCGGCCGGUUGGCUACGUUCGGAAGGGAUAACCGCUGAAAGCAUCUAAGCGGGAAGCCUUCUCCAAGAUAAGGAUUCCAUGCGGCCCCGAGCCGCUGAAGACCCCAUGCAGAACACGUGGUCGAUAGGCCGGACGUGGAAGCCCCGCGAGGGGUGGAGCCGACCGGUACUAAUGGUCGAGAGGCAACCCACA